RNAcentral lists this ribosomal RNA (198 nucleotides) under uncultured bacterium. Its description in RNAcentral is "partial 16S ribosomal RNA". It matches the Rfam family "Bacterial small subunit ribosomal RNA", at positions 328 to 539 of the family's 1533-position model. The record is from RNAcentral.
ACGCUCGACACCUACGGAGGCAGCAGUCGGGAAUAUUGCGCAAUGGAGGAAACUCUGACGCAGUGACGCCGCGUGCAGGAAGAAGGUUUUCGGAUUGUAAACUGCUUUAGACAGGGAAGAAAAAAGACAGUACCUGUAGAAUAAGCUCCGGCUAACUACGUGCUAGCAGCCGCGGUAAUCUGAGCGGGCUGGCAAGGC